UACACAUGCAGUCGAGGGGUAUAGUUCUUCGGAACUAGAGACCGGCGCACGGGUGCGUAACGCGUAUGCAAUCUACCUUUCACAGAGGGAUAGCCCAGAGAAAUUUGGAUUAAUACCUCANAGUAUAAUGAGUUGGCAUCAACACAUUAUUAAAGUCACAACGGUGAAAGAUGAGCAUGCGUCCCAUUAGCUAGAUGGUAAGGUAACGGCUUACCAUGGCUACNAUGGGUAGGGGUCCUGAGAGGGAGAUCCCCCACACUGGUACUGAGACACGGACCAGACUCCUACGGGAGGCAGCAGUGAGGAAUAUUGGACAAUGGGCGCAAGCCUGAUCCAGCCAUGCCGCGUGCAGGAUGACGGUCCUAUGGAUUGUAAACUGCUUUUGUACAGGAAGAAACACUGGUUCGUGAAC
This 412-nucleotide ribosomal RNA is filed under the name unidentified microorganism. RNAcentral describes it as "bacterial SSU rRNA". It matches the Rfam family "Bacterial small subunit ribosomal RNA", at positions 50 to 465 of the family's 1533-position model. The record is from RNAcentral.